RNAcentral lists this ribosomal RNA (600 nucleotides) under Enterobacter kobei. RNAcentral describes it as "bacterial SSU rRNA". It matches the Rfam family "Bacterial small subunit ribosomal RNA", at positions 41 to 629 of the family's 1533-position model. The record is from RNAcentral. Lineage: Bacteria; Pseudomonadati; Pseudomonadota; Gammaproteobacteria; Enterobacterales; Enterobacteriaceae.
GGCGGGGCGGAGGCUACCAUGCAGUCGAACGGUAGCACAGAGAGCUUGCUCUCGGGUGACGAGUGGCGGACGGGUGAGUAAUGUCUGGGAAACUGCCUGAUGGAGGGGGAUAACUACUGGAAACGGUAGCUAAUACCGCAUAACGUCGCAAGACCAAAGAGGGGGACCUUCGGGCCUCUUGCCAUCAGAUGUGCCCAGAUGGGAUUAGCUAGUAGGUGGGGUAACGGCUCACCUAGGCGACGAUCCCUAGCUGGUCUGAGAGGAUGACCAGCCACACUGGAACUGAGACACGGUCCAGACUCCUACGGGAGGCAGCAGUGGGGAAUAUUGCACAAUGGGCGCAAGCCUGAUGCAGCCAUGCCGCGUGUAUGAAGAAGGCCUUCGGGUUGUAAAGUACUUUCAGCGGGGAGGAAGGUGUUGUGGUUAAUAACCACAGCAAUUGACGUUACCCGCAGAAGAAGCACCGGCUAACUCCGUGCCAGCAGCCGCGGUAAUACGGAGGGUGCAAGCGUUAAUCGGAAUUACUGGGCGUAAAGCGCACGCAGGCGGUCUGUCAAGUCGGAUGUGAAAUCCCCGGGCUCAACCUGGGAACUGCAUUCG